Molecule: ribosomal RNA, 253 nt
Filed under: uncultured bacterium
Lineage: Bacteria
Description: partial 16S ribosomal RNA
Rfam family: Bacterial small subunit ribosomal RNA
Source: RNAcentral
UACGUAAGGGGCAAGCGUUGUCCGGAAUCACUGGGCGUAGAGGGCGCGUAGGCUGUUUGGUAAGUAGAAGGUGAAAGACUUGGGCUCAACCCAAGAAUUGCCUUCUAAACUGCCUUACUUGAGGAUCUGAGGGGAAGCUGGAAUUCACGGUGUAGCGGUGAAAUGCGCAGAUAUCAGGAGGAACACCGGUGGCGAAGGCGGGUCUCUGGGCCGAUACUGACGCUGAGGAGCGAAAGCAUGGGUAGCGAACAGG